Molecule: ribosomal RNA, 246 nt
Filed under: uncultured Pseudomonas sp.
Lineage: Bacteria; Pseudomonadati; Pseudomonadota; Gammaproteobacteria; Pseudomonadales; Pseudomonadaceae
Description: partial 16S ribosomal RNA
Rfam family: Bacterial small subunit ribosomal RNA
Source: RNAcentral
ACUCUAAGGAGACUGCCGGUGACAAACCGGAGGAAGGUGGGGAUGACGUCAAGUCAUCAUGGCCCUUACGGCCUGGGCUACACACGUGCUACAAUGGUCGGUACAAAGGGUUGCCAAGCCGCGAGGUGGAGCUAAUCCCAUAAAACCGAUCGUAGUCCGGAUCGCAGUCUGCAACUCGACUGCGUGAAGUCGGAAUCGCUAGUAAUCGUGAAUCAGAAUGUCACGGUGAAUACGUUCCCGGGCCUU